CUCCUCUCAGCUCCUUCGUCUUUCAAUAACACGUUCCUCUUCGAAGAGAAAACCUAAUCUUGAACCCUUCCUCUCCAUCAUUCGAUUAUCCUUAAUCUUUUUUCAAUUUUAACUUUCUAUGAUCCACUUUCUUUCGUUUUCAAUCGAUAUCCAACAAUAAGUCAUUCAAGUUCAAACCCUAACAAUGAUUUGAAGUUAGGAUUUCAGUAUCAAUAUAGAACCCUAACAAUGAAUAAUAACAAUAAUUUGAACCUUCAUUUUCGCUUUGCUCUGUCGCAAAUCCGUAAUCUAUAGUUCCGUAAUCAGAUGUUUACAAAAUCUACCAUUCUGCUGCUCCAUUCUGUUACUCAGCGUUCCGUAGUUCCACAAUUGGCCAACUUCAAGUUGUAGUUGUGUUGCUUUUUUGCUUCGGUAGCAACUACCUUUUCUUAUAGGCAAGGAGGUUGGAUACAUUCUUUUGGUUUGUUGGUUAGACAUUUGCAGGUUGCGAUCGUGGUGGAAAAAAUUGCAAAUGUGUUGUAUUAAAGCCAUCAUUGCUUAACAAAUGCUCUGUUUUAUAACUUAAUAUUAAAUAUGGCUCAAAUGUUACUAGUAUAAGAAUAAAGUGGCAUUUGGUGACAUAUGGUAUUUGGAAGAAUGACUGGAUUUAUGAUAUUUGAACAUAACUUGCUGACACAUGCUAUAUUGUUAUUCUAUUGACAUGUUGGAUA
Lathyrus oleraceus (garden pea) is the source of this 710-nucleotide long non-coding RNA. RefSeq lists it as uncharacterized. NCBI's taxonomy places the organism in Eukaryota, Viridiplantae, Streptophyta, Magnoliopsida, Fabales, Fabaceae. The transcript has 2 exons. The record is from RefSeq and is a predicted model, not a curated record.